UGGCUCAGGAUGAACGCUAGCGGCAGGCUUAACACAUGCAAGUCGAGGGGCAUCGGGAGUAGCAAUACUGCCGGCGACCGGCGCAAGGGUGCGUAACGCGUGAGCAACAUGCCCGUAUCAGGGGGAUAAUCCAUGGAAACGUGGUCUAAUACCCCAUAGUAAUUAUGUAAGGCAUCUUAUAUAAUUUAAAGCUUUGGUGGAUACGGAUUGGCUCGCGUGACAUUAGCUGGAUGGUAAGGUAACGGCUUACCAUGGCUACGAUGUCUAGGGGUUCUGAGAGGAAGGUCCCCCCACACUGGAACUGAGACACGGUCCAGACUCCUACGGGAGGCAGCAGUGAGGAAUAUUGGACAAUGGAUGGAAAUCUGAUCCAGCCAUGCCGCGUGCAAGGAAGACGGCCCUAUGGGUUGUAAACUGCUUUUGUAUGGGAGCAAUAAGGGCUACGUGUAGUCCGAUGAGAGUACCAUACGAAUAAGCACCGGCUAACUCCGUGCCAGCCGCCGC
This 504-nucleotide ribosomal RNA is filed under the name uncultured bacterium. Its description in RNAcentral is "bacterial SSU rRNA". It matches the Rfam family "Bacterial small subunit ribosomal RNA", at positions 20 to 518 of the family's 1533-position model. The record is from RNAcentral.